UAAAGUGACGUGUUUCACUAAUUACACUCCACAAGAGCAAACACUGGGCACAGGACUGAAAGCCAAGCCUACCUGAGUUCACUCUGAGCCACUGGAUCCUCCUUUCACUCCUCCUCCUCUCACCUUCACUCAUCUCUCCUUACAGAACAACAUUUAAGGAGAAAAUUUUCGGUUAAAACUUCGGUUAAAAUUUUCGGUUAAAAACUUCGGUUCCGGAAGUCUUGAGUCGACUCCUCAGCUGAUUCAGUGAGUCGAUUCACUUCACUUCGCUUCAGUUGACUGAGCUUUAUUCAGAGUCUCUGUGUCUCUGUCAAGAUUCAUUUCCUGGAAUUUUCUCCUCAGUCUGUCGAGACCGAAAAAGUCUGAAGGAAAAGGAAUCAGCUGAAACUUACAGCAGUUGUGUGAGUGGAAUGAGGACGAUGGGAUCAGUUUCGUGGUGAAAGAACAAAUGAAGGCAGGAGUUUGUUCAGAUCCCGAAGCAGGAGAUGAGAAUGUGAUUUACAGGAACAUGGAACACAUCUCACACCCUUUCCAGGAAACCAGAUGUGCUUUGAACACCAACAUGCUUUCAGCAGCUCUGCUGUGGGAAACACCCUACUGGGUUCUAGCACCGGUUCUCUUUGGAUCCUUCCUCAGUUCCCUCUGUUUUAUCCUUUAUUCUCUUUAAACAGUUACAUGUUCAAUUUAAAAUCUCACAUCCAUACUGAGAUCACCUUCUACAGACUACUGGCUCUACAUUUAUGAUUUACAAUUAUUUCGACGGGCGGCAUGGUGGUGUAGUGGUUAGCGCUGUUGCCUCACAGCAAGAAGGUCCGGGUUCGAGCCCCGUGGUCGGUGAGGGCCUUUCUGUGUGGAGUUUGCAUGUUCUCCCCGUGUCCGGGUGGGUUUCCUCUGGGUUCUCCGGUUUCCCCCACAGUCCAUAGACAUGCAGGUUAGGUUAACUGGUGACUUUAAAUUGACCAUAGGUGUGAAUGGUUGUCUGUGUCUAUGUGUCAGCCCUGUGAUGACCUGGCGACUUGUCCAGGGUGUACCCCGCCUUUCGCCCGUAGUCAGCUGGGAUAGGCUCCAGCUUGCCUGCGACCCUGUAGAAGGAUAAAGCGGCUAGAGAUAAUGAGAUGAGAUGAGUUUGUUCAUUUCACAUAUUUCUGCGGAGUCAUUGAGUUUUGAACUGCUCUUUUGUCUCAAAUGACACAACAACUGAAUAACUUUUUUGCAUAUAAUCGGCAACCUUUCCUGAAGAUACUGAAUAGGAGGAUUAUCUGGAUUUGGUUGGAAAAUUUCCCUGCUUUUGUGCACAGAAUAAAGUCAAUUUAUUUGUAUCGACCUUUUCACAAUCGACAUUGCUGCAAAGCAGCUUGAGAGAAAAAUAGAUUUUAAACAUACAGUAUGAAGUAAUAAAUUUCUCCCUGAUGAACAAGCCUGAGAUGACGGUGGUGAGGGAAAAGGCACUGAGACAACAUCAGGAAGGAACCUGGAGAGGAACCAGAUUCAAAAGGGAACCCAUUCUCAUUUGGAUGAUAAGAUAGUAUGAUUAAAAAUAAAUUCCUUUCGUGCUUUCAAAUGUGGCCUGGUAUCUUUAAUACAGUACAUACCUGAGCUAACAGCCUCACCCUAUAUUUAAAAUAACUUUGGCAGUGCUUCAUCUUUAGAUUCAGUCUUGAAUCAGCCCCAGCAAGCAUUGUUAGGAACAUAAAAACAAAUGUGCAGAGGGUGAAUGGGUUGCAGUUUGUAAAAGAUUUUAUGCAGCACACAUUCACAGUAAGAGCAUCUUUGUUCUGUUGAUUUUCUCACAGAAAAUAGCAUUUUGAUAAGCACUGAAAAACCAAUUAAAGGCCCUCUCCUGGGAUCCAAACUAUUCAAAGAGAACCUGCUUGUUUUGAAUUUUGUUUCUCAAAACAGUAGUAUGGCUGCUGGAGUCGUUCCCCAAGAGCAGGUGGUAAUUAUUAUCCUGUAUCUUAUUUACCUAAAACAUCUGUAGUUCAGGGCACGCCAUCAUGCCUUUGUGCGGUGGCUGCAGCAGCUCUCCUGGUCACUGAUGGUGAGAAACUGGCCCUCUCUCACACCCUCAUCUUUCACACUUCUCAUCAGUUCUCAUCAAUUCCACUUUGGUAGCUGAUCUUGCUGAUGUUUGCUCAAAGCCUAUUUACUUAGCUGUCAUCGAGGUUAAACGGCAUGACAUUUCUAACACACAAGUACAGUAGCUCAGGGUAAUGGGUUGGCAGAUGAAGUGGUUAAAUGGGCAGCCAAAAAGGGCACGUCCUUACCUCAUGUUUGCACGGUCGCUGUGUAUUUCAUGUUUAGUAAUGUGCUCACUCCUGGCACUGAUGUUGCUUUUCUCCAAUCUAGACCCACAGAAUGUGACUUGACACACUGGCAGAAGUGUGCCGAAGGCCCUGAUGCCUGUUGAGGGACUUUACACAAUGUCUAGCGUUCCCGGCUUCUGUGUUACCAUUCCUCAUGUAACAUUAUCACGGUGUUUCUCAUGUCACCUGGAGAGGGGUAAUUAAGAACAUCAAACCAGAGGUGGAAAGAGUACUAAAAUAUUAUACUCAAGUACAAGUACUGUUACUCUGAUGAAAUUUUACUUAAGUACAAGUAAAGUUACCAGACAAAAAAUCUACUCAAGUAAAAGUAAAAAGUAGAUCAUUUAAAAUGUACUUUGAGUAAAAGUAAAACGUUACUUUUAACAAUGGGUGUUUUCUGCCUCCAUUGUGUUGUGCAAAAAUGAAAAAGAAGAGGAAACAAGGAUAUAUGUACAUCUCAACCCAGAUGUUUUAUUUAAAGGAAGUGUAUCAAAUUGAAUGCUUAGGAUAAUGCUGCAUUAAAACUGAGACAAACAAAAAAGGUCAAUACACACAGUCAUGUCGUUUACAUCGCCCUGACCACACACAAAGCAUUGUACACGAAAUAUGAAAGUGAAAUGUCGCACCGAAAUCUUGUAGCUUGCCUGUGUGCACUGUGUGUUAUUGAACAAUUCAAUUCAAACAUUAUUUGUUUUGCUUAGUAUUCCUUUCUGGCCUGUUGGACGUAGAAUGGUAGGAGGACUGAUCACGUCAGGUUGGCGAGCUAACUUGCUUGCAUGAUUAGCCAACCGAAUAACAGACUAGUUACCAUUAUGUUACAGUACCAACAGGUUGCUACUUCAACAUUAGCAAUGCCAUCCACUAUUUUUGGAAUAUAACCAGCCUAUUGUCAGUUUUACUAUGGAAAGGAAACAUUAUGAUCAGGGGUGCAGAUACAUUUUUUGAACUGGGGGGGACAAAAAACUGGGGGGGACAAAGCUGCCAGCAAACCAACCCCGAUAUGCCUGUCAAACUUGUUGUGGGUAACCAUAGCAACCAAGCUCGAGCUCGCAACCUGUGCAGUCUGCGCAGCUCAACCAACCGAAUAUCAGUCUUUGUUUUGUUUUAUGUGAGUUGUUGCAACUAUGUAUGUACUGCUGUGCACCUCAAUAAACCGAAUGGUAAUUAGUCUUUUGAUUUUUCCGUGAGGUUUGCCUUAUGCAAUGAAAGACAGCAUAGACAUUUUUUCCUUCCUAUAAGUGGGGGGGACCGAACGAGGUGAAUUUAAAUCUGGGUGGGACGAAUCCCACCCGUCCCACCCUCUAUCUGCGCCCGUGAUUAUGAUGCCAAUGACAAUACUUACCUCAACAUGCUUGCGCAGAUUAGAUGUUGAAUUUUUGUAUGCCGCAAUGGUUGUCUUCUUGGGCACACAUAAUCUGCAUUGCAUAAUGAAACUGUCACCCCUUUUCUCUACGAAGCUGAAGUGAUCACGUAUGUAGGGCCAGGGGUGCACUUCAUUACUGGAAGAAAUUGCGUUUUCUGCAGGGUCGUCCACCACAGGUUCCUCGGUCUCCUCCAUGUCCGCAGGGGCACUUUAUCAACACCCGUGGCCCAGGGGCUAGGCCCCUCAUAGGCUACCUGUCAACCCUACCCUUACCGUUGGCCAGGAAAACACUCUUAUUUUAUUUGCAAUACGUGUCAAGCAUUUACAUUGUAAGCGCGUAAUUAGCCUAGAAGCCUACGAUAGGUUACGUUUGGCUCAGCAUAGCUGCGCAAGGCCCACGCUCACAUCGCUCAACACAUCCGACCACAGAGGGAGAGAAUAAUGCGUGCAUUAUCAUUACAGAGCCGGUUGUGAUUAUUACCACGGACAGGACAGUGAUACUGCGUAACUUUCACACAGGGGCAUGGCCAGAGAUAACCACACAAGCGCGCGUGUGCUAUAAUGUAGACCUAUGUGUUGUAAACAUAAAACACACACACCUACAGACAAGUCCUUUUAAAAAAUAAAAUACAUAAAAAUAGCUCGGCGGCAUGAAAACAAACAUUCACUGCAAGUCAAGGUACUUGGCUCGGCGGCCGCAUGAAACGUAAACACCAUGGACAGCGGCCAAACUCAUAACUCUACAGACCGAAAUACACGAAACCAAGUCCUACUAGGGUCUAUUUUACCAAUCUAUGUUCAAGCAUCAUGCAAGUCUUCCUUCUCCUUGAAUGAGACCGUGCAUUCAACUGCCUUUUUGACAUGACUGCAUCGAAAUACCACUUGCAACAAUAUUUCACGCACUCCAUCAAGAAAAAAGUUAAACAUGAUGAACACGGGCAUACUGUUUUGAGCAUACGAUUUUUUAAAAAGAAACUAGCUACAUCAAAGUCCUUCAAUAAACCCAUCCUUUAGCGCAAAUGAGCUUAACCUAGUUCAAAGCAUGACACUAGCAGUAGCUGCAUAAGGCAAAAUCGUGUGGGCCUUUCGUCAACGACAAGCCACGGCGGGGAAACAUUAAUAAUCAAGUGUCCUUACCUUAAAACGUUGUCUUGACCACAGAACUUCUCAAGUAUUUCACUUAAAUCCACACGGGUUAACAACACACCCAACACAGCUAGCGAGAAAUGUGGAUAUGCGCUAGCUUUGUAUUGCUAUUCCCCUCAGUAUGCUUACUCUGUCUGCUGCCCGAACUGUGACAAUUAUAGGCUACAAUCUUUUCAUCAAUUUCUUCAGUAGAUGCCAUUUUAGACAUUUUAUUAUCCCCAUCGAAAUAUGCUAUUAUACUAACAGGAUUAUAACUCAAAUCACACAACACGUAUUCAAAUCACAACUGAUUUAUUUUACUGUUGGACAGAUCAUAGCAUAUCUAGCCUAGCUACACAUAGCCUAGCUGCUGGUAGGCUGAUAACUGAUAAGUAGCUGAUAUUCUGAACAGAUUGGUGAUCCUUACCUUAAAAAAGUCUGUGACUUUAGGCAACAAUUCUAUCAUUACCUGCAUCUCUCUCUUUUUUUUCCUUUUAUGCGCCCUGCUAACACGUGAACGCUUCAUCUUUCAAAGCCUCUAAAUUUAUGUCUCUGUAGUCAGUAGUCUUUGGCGCGCUUUCGUGCGUGACGUUACAUUUUGUUAUAUUUUAUUCUGGUCCAGUUGUGGGUGUUCGUUUCGCGAACCACAUCCACCAUGUCUCUUACAGCAGGCUACUGUGCGCUCAUUUAUUUCUAACCUUAUUUCUAUCCGUACAUUAAUGUAGGCCCAUGAUUCCGACAGUUUAUUAUUUUAUUAAUAUUACAAGGCCCCUGAUUGGCUGUGGCCCAGGGGCUUGAGCCCCCCGAACCCCCCCCUUAAAGCGCCGGUGCAUGUCCGCCAUCGUCUGUGUGAGACUCGCGCGCGCGACAACUGUCCUUCCCGUGAUUCAUUUCCAGAACGCAUUUCCCCUUCUCCGUUUUAGCCUUUUUUAAAUUUUUUAUUUAUUUAUUUUUUUACUCAAUAACGGUUGUGAUGUAAAAUGUACCGAAGUACACUACUUAAAAGAAAACAUACUUAAGUAAAAGUAAAAGUACACUCUUUAAAAAUUACUUGAAAAAGUAUAAGUACACAAAAAAGCUACUCAAGUACAGUAACGCGAGUAAUGUAAUUCGUUACUUUCCACCUCUGCAUCAAACAACUAUUCUGCAUUACAGAUCUGAGCUUAAACUGUAAAUUUGCUACUACAUACCUGCCUUGUAUGUGCCAGGACCAACCAACCUGGAAAAAUGUCUAAGCAUGAUGCUUCACCUCGUGCCCCAUUCCAGUACCUGCAAGUUGAUUUCACUCAUAUGCCACCCAUAGGCAACUUAAAAUACAUGCUGUUCAUUGUUGACAGACUCUCAAAAUGGGUUGAAACUCUUCCUUGUUGUAAAAAAAUGCUAAAAAAAAUGAUCAAGGCUCCGUUCUUGUGCUGACGCUCUUCUCCAUCUUCUGUAGCAUGAUGCUACACCAGGCCAUGGAAGAGCUUGGUGAGGAUGAUGGCAUCUACAAGACAGAGGUGCUUCACCAACUUGCAUCUCGCAAGGUGUAUCAGCCUCGCAUCUGCCCAACUGAACUAAACUCGGUCCAGCAGUUCACUUACCUAGGCUACACAAUCUCAUCGUAUGCCAAGAUUGACAAGGAGAUCGACAACAGGCUUGCCAAAGCAAACAGCGCCUUUGGCAGGCUCCAGAAAAGAAUCUGGGGUAACAAGGACCUAAAGAAGAACACCAAGGUCCUUGUGUACCACGCUGUGGUCCUGACCACUCUCUGUUACGGCUCUGAGGCCUGGGUCACCACCACCGCCACCUGCGCCUCCUUGAGCGCUUCCAUCAGCGCUGUCUUCGCUCCAUUCUUAACAUCCAUUGGCGUGACUACAUCAUGAAUGUUGAGGUCCUACAGAGGGCGGAGGCCACCAUUCUUGAGGCCAUGCUACUAAAGUCACAGGUGCAAUGGGCUGGACAUGUGUCCAGAAUGGAAGAUUAUUGAUUACCCAAGAUUGUCUUGCACGGGGAGCUGUCCUCUGGCUGUCGAAACCCAGGGGCCCCAGUCAAGACGUAUAAAGCUCUCCUGAAGGCUUCCCUAAAGAUCUGCAACAUCAACCCCAACUCCAAGACAUGUCUUGCUUCAGAUCGUGACAGAUGGUGAAAAACUGUUUACAGUGCUGUCAGUUCCUUUGAGGAUGAUUGGAGAGCAAACCUGGAGGACAAAAGGAGCAGAAGGAAAAAUAAACCAAUCACUGCUCCCAACCCUGAUUUCAUGCUGGCCUGCAACGUCUGUGGCUGAACGUGUCUGUCGAGGAUAGGUCUCAUCAGUCAUAAGAGAGCCUGUAGCCGACGUGGACAUUCCCCCUCAUAAAUAUUCAUUUGCGAAUCAAUGCCAAGAGAGAGAGAAGAUAUAUAUAUAAGAAGAAAACGUCAAACCAAGAAGCCUUUAUUGGUCACAUGUACACUCAAGCAUAGACUCAGCACACAGUGAAAUUUAACCUCUGCAUUUAACCCAUCUGAAGCAGUUAACACACACACACAUACAUACAAAUGAGCAAUGAGCACACACACAUACCCACAGUAGUGAGCAACUAUGCUACAUCACCCGGGGAGCAGUUGUGGGUUAAGUGCAUGAAGGGCACUUCAGUACAACCUCAGCACUGUGGCUGCUCCAUGUUAACCUAACUGCAUGUCUUUGGACUGUGGGGGAAACCGAAGCACCGAAGUGACGUGUUUCACUAAUUACACUCCACAAGAGCAAACACUGGGCACAGGACUGAAAGCCAAGCCUACCUGAGUUCACUCUGAGCCACUGGAUCCUCCUUUCACUCCUCCUCCUCUCACCUUCACUCAUCUCUCCUUACAGAACACCAUUUAAGGAGAAAAUUUUCGGUUAAAACUUCGGUUAAAAUUUUCGGUUAAAAACUUCGGUUCCGGAAGUCUUGAGUCGACUCCUCAGCUGAUUCAGUGAGUCGAUUCACUUCACUUCGCUUCAGUUGACUGAGCUUUAUUCAGAGUCUCUGUGUCUCUGUCAAGAUUCAUUUCCUGGAAUUUUCUCCUCAGUCUGUCGAGACCGAAAAAGUCUGAAGGAAAAGGAAUCAGCUGAAACUUACAGCAGUUGUGUGAGUGGAACAAGGACGAUGGGAUCAGUUUCGUGGUGAAAGAACAAAUGAAGGCAGGAGUUUGUUCAGAUCCCGAAGCAGGAGAUGAGAAUGUGAUUUACAGGAACAUGGAACACAUCUCACACCCUUUCCAGGAAACCAGAUGUGCUUUGAACACCAACAUGCUUUCAGCAACACUGCUGUGGGAAACACCCUGCUGGGUUCUAGCACCGGUUCUCUUUGGAUCCUUCCUCAGUUCCCUCUGUUUUAUCCUUUAUUCUCUUUAAGCAGUUACAUGUUCACUUUAAAAUCUCACAUCCAUACUGAGAUCACCUUCUACAGACUACUGGCUCUACAUUUAUGAUUUACAAUUAUUUCGACGGGCAGCACGGUGGUGUAGUGGUUAGCGCUGUUGCCUCACAGCAAGAAGGUCCUGAGUUCGAGCCUCGUGGCGGGCAAGGGCCUUUCUGUGUGGAUUUUGCAUGUUCUCCCCGUGUCCGUGUGGGUUUCCUCCACAGUCCAAAGACAUGCAGGUUAGGUUAACAGGUGAAAAUUGACCAUCGGUGUGAGUGUGAAUGGUUGUCUGUGUCUAUGUGUCAGCCCUGUGAUGACCUGGCGGCUUGUCCAGGGUGUACCCCGCCCGUAGUCAGCUGGGAUAGGCUCCAGCUUGGCUGCGACCCUGUAGAACAGGAUAAAGCGGCUAGAGAUAAUGAGAUGAGAUUAAUUAUUUUGACUUCACUCAUCAUUUCCACAUCUAUCUAUCUAUCUAUCUAUCGUCGUGGAAAAAUGGCAAACACCAACACCAGUCUCGUCCUUUUGCAAGAGAAAGAAGGUUUAUUACAGAAACGGACAAGUGAUGAGGGUUCGGCACACCCCUCAUACCAUCUCCUUUGUUCUCAAAUCUAUAUAUACUCUUUACUAGAUAAAAAGGAGACAUCUAUUGCAUUACAUCAUUGCAAUUACAUGCCCUGAUCACGCGCUGGGUGCAUGAUCAGCUCUAAAGCUGAUUGGAUCGUCUCUAAUCGUUGGCUUGUAUGCACAUCUACACGCGUCUGCUACGCACGUAACAAGCAUGAUAAGAUGAACAUGUUUCAGUGCCAAAUGUUCUGAAUCAUUAGUCCUUGAAGAGGCAACACUCAGUGAAAAGGAAAAUUACAAAACAGUAUGACACUAAAAUUUACUCUACAUUAUCUAUCAAUCUGUCUAUCUAUCUUCACAGUUAUUUCCAGAAAAAUAUUGGUUCUGGAACAGUUCACUCUUUCUGAGCCACUAAUGUGUGUGUGUGUGUGUGUGUGGUGGUGGUGUUGUACUAUAAUGAGCAUAAUUGAGUGGAUUAUACCAGUAGAGGGGAGCAGAGCCGGUCCUGCAAAACAAGCUGUCUGUUUUCUAAAACAGUGAAUAAUCUGACUGUAAUGUGAAGUGUUUCACAAGGGAUGAAUCAGUAAACAAGCCUGCAGCUGUUAGCUAUCGGGGCACCAAUAAAGUAUUUGUUUAAUAAAGCCAGUUUGUGGAGACUUGUCCAGGGUGUACCCCACCUUUCACCCGUAGUCAGCUGGGAUAGGCUCCAGCUUGCCUGCGACCCUGCAGAACAGGAUAAAGCGGCUAGAGAUAAUGAGAGAUGAGAUGAGAUGAGAUGAAAGCCAGUUUGUUAAUUUCACAUAUUUCUAUAAAGUCGUUGAGUUUUGAACUGCUUUUUUGUCUCAAAUGACACAACAAAUGAAUAACUUUUUUUCCAUACAAUCGGCAACCUUUCCUGAAGAUACUGAGUAGAAGGAUUGUCUGGAUGUGGUUGGAAAAUUUCCCGGCUUUUGUGCACAGAAUAAAGUCAAUUUAUUUCUAUAGAGCUUUUCACAAUUGACAUUGCUGCAAAGCAGCUUGAGAGAAAAAUAGAUUUUAAACAUACAGUAUGAAGUAAUAAAUUUCUCCCUGAUGAACAAGCCUGAGAUGACGGUGGUGAGGGAAAAGGCGCUGAGACGACAUCAGGAAGAAUCCUGGAGAGGAACCAGAUUCAAAAGGGAACCCAUUCUCAUUUGGAUGAUAAGAUAGCAUGAUUAAAAAUAAAUUCCUUUCGUGCUUUCAAA
Neoarius graeffei (lesser salmon catfish) is the source of this 9940-nucleotide long non-coding RNA. RefSeq lists it as uncharacterized. The transcript has 3 exons. NCBI's taxonomy places the organism in Eukaryota, Metazoa, Chordata, Actinopteri, Siluriformes, Ariidae. The record is from RefSeq and is a predicted model, not a curated record.